GACAGAGGGUGCAAACGUUGUUCGGAAUUACUGGGCGUAAAGCGCGUGUAGGCGGCUGCGCAAGUCGGGUGUGAAAGCCCUGGGCUCAACCCAGGAAGUGCACUCGAAACUGCGUAGCUGGAGUCUCGGAGAGGGAGGCGGAAUUCUGGGUGUAGAGGUGAAAUUCGUAGAUAUCCAGAGGAACACCGGUGGCGAAGGCGGCCUCCUGGACGAGAACUGACGCUGAGACGCGAAAGCGUGGGGAGCGAACAGG
This 253-nucleotide ribosomal RNA is filed under the name uncultured bacterium. RNAcentral's name for it is "partial 16S ribosomal RNA". It matches the Rfam family "Bacterial small subunit ribosomal RNA", at positions 524 to 776 of the family's 1533-position model. The record is from RNAcentral.